AACGAACGCUGGCGGCAUGCCUAACACAUGCAAGUCGAACGAACCCUUCGGGGUUAGUGGCGCACGGGUGCGUAACACGUGGGAAUCUGCCCUUUGCUUCGGAAUAACAGUUAGAAAUGACUGCUAAUACCGGAUAAUGUCUUCGGACCAAAGAUUUAUCGGCAAAGGAUGGGCCCGCGUAGGAUUAGCUUGUUGGUGAGGUAAAGGCUCACCAAGGCGACGAUCCUUAGCUGGUCUGAGAGGAUGAUCAGCCACACUGGGACUGAGACACGGCCCAGACUCCUACGGGAGGCAGCAGUGGGGAAUAUUGGACAAUGGCGAAAGCCUGAUCCAGCAAUGCCGCGUGAGUGAUGAAGGCCUUA
Molecule: ribosomal RNA, 362 nt
Filed under: uncultured bacterium
Lineage: Bacteria
Description: bacterial SSU rRNA
Rfam family: Bacterial small subunit ribosomal RNA
Source: RNAcentral